RNAcentral lists this ribosomal RNA (206 nucleotides) under uncultured bacterium. RNAcentral's name for it is "partial 16S ribosomal RNA". It matches the Rfam family "Bacterial small subunit ribosomal RNA", at positions 524 to 728 of the family's 1533-position model. The record is from RNAcentral.
UACGUAGGGGGCAAGCGUUGUCCGGAUUUACUGGGCGUAAAGAGCGCGUAGGCGGAAGCUUAAGCGGUACCUGAAAGCCCCCCGGCUCAACCGGGGAAGGUGGCGCCGAACUGGGCUUCUUGAGGGCGAUAGAGGAAAGUGGAAUUCCGGGUGUAGCGGUGAAAUGCGUAGAUAUCCGGAGGAACACCAGUGGCGCAGGCGGCUUC